Molecule: ribosomal RNA, 440 nt
Filed under: uncultured bacterium
Lineage: Bacteria
Description: partial 16S ribosomal RNA
Rfam family: Bacterial small subunit ribosomal RNA
Source: RNAcentral
CCUACGGGAGGCAGCAGUAGGGAAUAUUGCUCAAUGGGGGAAACCCUGAAGCAGCAACGCCGCGUGGAGGAUGAAGGUUUUCGGAUUGUAAACUCCUUUUGUUAGAGAAGAUAAUGACGGUAUCUAACGAAUAAGCACCGGCUACCUCCGUGCCAGCAGCCGCGGUAAUACGGAGGGUGCAAGCGUUACUCGGAAUCACUGGGCGUAAAGGGCGCGUAGGCGGGAUAGCAAGUCAGAUGUGAAAUCCUAUGGCUUAACCAUAGAACUGCAUUUGAAACUGUUAUUCUAGAGUAUGGUAGAGGUAGGUGGAAUUCUUGGUGUAGGGGUAAAAUCCGUAGAGAUCAAGAGGAAUACUCAUUGCGAAGGCGACCUGCUAGAACAUAACUGACGCUGAUGCGCGAAAGCGUGGGGAGCAAACAGGAUUAGAUACCCGUGUAGUC